UUUAAGAAUCAUUGAAUUCAAUCUUGAAAAUCUGAAUGAGUGGUUUAUGAGCGUAAAAUAGUGAUAUUUAAAACUCGAUUUUAAUUUAUUGAAUGUCGUAAACACAUAAAAUUAAAGAACCGCCAAUAAAACUAGAAAACCCGAACGAAACGACUGAAAUGAGUAGUUUCAUCGGUGGUGUAGAACGGUAAAAUUUGUUCAUUCUCCACAACUGCUGUCAAAGAAACGUACGACCCUUCUCGUCCGUCAAACAAUCGUCGAAAAAAGUGGCCGGCACCACGAAAUCUCACCCGUCAAUAGAAGGACGACUGGAAAAAGUUCCGUGAAAAGGGAGCGCGUAUCGGAGCCCCCGGGGUUCCUCUGUGAGCACUGCAAAGUUUAUGACCCAAUAUUAACUGUCUCCUACGAUAAUUUAUGUUAAUGGUUUCGGGUCCGGGGCCCGGCAGAGCGUACGGUCGGAGCACAGGGACUGCAACGCACGACAGUUGGCAACGAGUCGCAGUGGAAAGUGGUGGUGUGGUGAUCUCCUCGAUACCCGACUCCCCGGCCGGGGCACUAAUUCAAAAAUACACUCACACACGACUUAAUUUUUUCAAUUUUUCUUCUUGACUUGGCUUAACUGGAGCCAUUUCUUCGCGGCCACGCUUCAACUUCGUUGCGACGUGCUCCGACGCGGCGGCGGCGAAGGACGACCAGGGCGCAAUCACGUUCCGUCGCACACAAAAUGGAAUUUCUGGCCCACAUUUCCACAUUGUAGGCGUGCUGUAGGGACGAAACGGCACAAGGACCGGCCGAGCCGGAGGACGGGGGACACGGGAAGGGGUGUGGAAGGGAAGCGGAUUCAACCGGGAACCGGCAACGAUCAUCCCGGGACCCGUAUUCGAAACGAGAACGCCAACUGAACCGGGCAGGGCGAGAAUGGAGGAUGGAGUGUUUUUCGGUUACGUGCCUUGCGGGCUCCGGCUCUUUUACAUGGCGACCAGAAUAAAAAAAUGCAGUUAAACUACUUUUAAGGGGCGUUUAAAUGCUUGGGAAUAAAUGGACAGUGACCGAUGGCACGUAGCGGACUGAGAUGUGGGCAGACGGAAUUGGCGGCGUCCCGGGUGAUGGUAAAACGAGACCCAGACGAUCGAAACUGGUUUUGUAUGGGAGGCUUAAACGCGAAAGGCCUUUCGCGUCCGAAAUGGAAAUAACGUGCAACCUCUGCCGGAGCGGGGAAAUGUGACUCAUUUUAGGAAUCAUGACCACGGGGAGCGAUUACCAGCAAUUGCGUUGGGCUGAGCAGCCGUCGACCAAUAAUUAAAAUGCAAAUGAGAAAUUACCAACGCCACACUCGUGAAAAGGAAGCCAAGACGACUGCAGGAGUAAAUGUAUAAGGUCGAUUAUUUAGAGUUAGAGCAAGGUUUUAUUUGGAGCCACUGAUUUAAGAGAAUCUACGUGGACCAAUUGCAGUUCUUCACGUUAAUGCUCUACAUCUACCCUGUAGAUCCGAAUUUGUUUGAAAUUACGCGACAAAUUCGGUUCUAGAGAGGUUUGUGUGGUGCAUACAAAGCAACGUGACUAAUCAACGUCGGCAGUUAGUUUUAAUUGUUGAAAUAUUAUUAAGUUUGUAUUUUAGUCACGUUUAACAACGUAAUUAUUUGUUAAUUUACUAUAAUGUUAUUAUUCUAUUGUAUAUUUACGUUAUGUAAGUAGUUUUCUUCGUAAUUUGUAAUGUACAUUUGUUAUUAAUAAACUUAUUCUAUUAUGAAA
Long non-coding RNA from Aethina tumida (small hive beetle), 1752 nucleotides. RefSeq lists it as uncharacterized. The record is from RefSeq and is a predicted model, not a curated record. The transcript is spliced from 7 exons. Lineage: Eukaryota; Metazoa; Arthropoda; Insecta; Coleoptera; Nitidulidae.